This is a long non-coding RNA of Asparagus officinalis (garden asparagus), 108 nucleotides long. RefSeq lists it as uncharacterized. The transcript has 3 exons. Lineage: Eukaryota; Viridiplantae; Streptophyta; Magnoliopsida; Asparagales; Asparagaceae. The record is from RefSeq and is a predicted model, not a curated record.
GGAGCGCUGGAAUCCGUUUAGCAGGAGCUACAGCUGAUGUUCAUUGUUAUGAUGUGCUAACAAAUAAGUGGUCAAGGCUCACUCCUCUUGGAGAGCCUCCAUCUCUGA